RNAcentral lists this ribosomal RNA (406 nucleotides) under uncultured bacterium. RNAcentral describes it as "partial 16S ribosomal RNA". It matches the Rfam family "Bacterial small subunit ribosomal RNA", at positions 30 to 526 of the family's 1533-position model. The record is from RNAcentral.
AUUGAACGCUGGCGGCAGGCCUAACACAUGCAAGUCGAGCGAGCGGCGGACGGGUGAGUAAUGCCUAGGAAUCUGCCUGGUAGUGGGGGAUAACGUCCGGAAACGGGCGCUAAUACCGCAUACCAUCAGAUGUGCCCAGAUGGGAUUAGCUAGUUGGUGGGGUAACGGCCUACCAAGGCGACGAUCCCUAGCUGGUCUGAGAGGAUGACCAGCCACAAUGGAACUGAGACACGGUCCAGACUCCAACGAGAGGCAGCGGUGGGGAAUAUUGAACAAUGGGCGCAAGCCUGAUGCAACCAUGCCGAGUGUGUGAAGAAGGCCUUCGGGUUGUAAAGAACUUUCAGCGGGGAGGCGUUACCCACAGAAGAAGCACCGGCUAACUCCGUGCCAGCAGCCGCGGUAAUAC